Molecule: ribosomal RNA, 834 nt
Filed under: uncultured Bacillota bacterium
Lineage: Bacteria; Bacillati; Bacillota
Description: bacterial SSU rRNA
Rfam family: Bacterial small subunit ribosomal RNA
Source: RNAcentral
UUUCUGUAGCAAUACAGGGAGUGGGCGCACGGCGCACGGGUGAGUAACACGUGGGUAACCUGCCCUUGGAUGGGGAAUAACCCCGCGAAAGCGGGGCUAAUACCGCAUAACAUUAUCGAAACUUUGGUUUUGAUACUCAAAGCCUGCAAAGGCGUCCGAGGAGUGGCCCGCGUACGAUUAGCUAGUUGGCGAGGUAAUGGCUCACCAAGGCUUUGAUCGUUAGCCGGUCUGAGAGGAUGGCCGGCCACACUGGAACUGAGACACGGUCCAGACUCCUACGGGAGGCAGCAGUGGGGAAUAUUGCGCAAUGGGCGAAAGCCUGACGCAGCGACGCCGCGUGGGGGAUGACGCUUUUCGGAGUGUAAACCCCUUUCGAUCGGGACGAAUGCCUCGCAAGAGGAGUGACGGUACCGGUAGAAGAAGCCCCGGCUAACUACGUGCCAGCAGCCGCGGUAAUACGUAGGGGGCCAGCGUUGCUCGGAAUAACUGGGCGUAAAGGGUUCGUAGGCGGUGCGGCAAGUUGGGAGUGAAAUCUCUGGGCUUAACCCAGAGACUGCUUUCAAAACUGCCGUGCUAGAGUGCGGGAGAGGCCAGUGGAAUUGCAGGUGUAGCGGUGAAAUGCGUAGAUAUCUGCAGGAACACCCGUGGCGAAGGCGGCUGGCUGGACCGCAACUGACGCUGAGGAACGAAAGCUAGGGGAGCAAACAGGAUUAGAUACCCUGGUAGUCCUAGCCCUAAACGAUCAGAACUUGGGGUGCAUCCCGUUGGGGGUGCGUCUCGUAGCUAACGCGUUAAGUUCUGCGCCUGGGGAGUACGGUCGCAAGACUGAAACUC